UUAUUUCCAUGAGGAGGAUGAAAGUAGCUUCCAGCUGGUGGAUACAGCGCGCACACAGAAGACGGCCUACCAGCGGAAUCGAAUGAGAUUUGCCCAGAGGAACCUCCGCAGAGACAAAGAUCGUCGGAACAUGUUGCAGUUCAACCUGCAGAUCCUGCCUAAGAGUGCCAAACAGAAAGAGAGAGAACGCAUUCGACUGCAGAAAAAGUUCCAGAAACAAUUUGGGGUUAGGCAGAAAUGGGAUCAGAAAUCACAGAAACCCCGAGACUCUUCAGUUGAAGUUCG
Molecule: unclassified non-coding RNA, 285 nt
Filed under: Hevea brasiliensis (rubber tree)
Lineage: Eukaryota; Viridiplantae; Streptophyta; Magnoliopsida; Malpighiales; Euphorbiaceae
Source: RNAcentral